Rhincodon typus (whale shark) is the source of this 848-nucleotide long non-coding RNA. RefSeq lists it as uncharacterized. The transcript has 2 exons. NCBI's taxonomy places the organism in Eukaryota, Metazoa, Chordata, Chondrichthyes, Orectolobiformes, Rhincodontidae. The record is from RefSeq and is a predicted model, not a curated record.
AAAUUCCCCCUCAUCUCAGCCCUAAAUAAAAUUCAUAUGGCAGAUUGGACUUGUUGCUAGAAGAGGAGCAACAUUCGAUAUUUUUUUUAUUCUCCAGAGGAAAAAAUGAGCACCAGUGACAAAAAUAAUAUGAUGUAAGACCAGUAACUUGACUGAGGAUGUGAAAGUGAUUAAAUUAUCAGUAAGACUAUCCAAGGGUGAAUGACGUCAUCUAACCUAAUCAACAAGAUGUAGAAAAUAACUUGGAUACUCCAACAAAGAUGGAUCAGCAGAGUGAGAAUAAAGAUUUUGCUUGAAUAAAAUGGAAGUGAGCUGCAUAUGAAAGUUCAUGGACACCAUUCCAAUGUCCACAGAUUCAGAACACCAUUACUAACGAGGAGGAUUAAAGUACUUGAUUCACCAGAGCAGCUGUCUUCAAUAACAGAGAUUCAAGAGAUUACAUGUCUCUCAGAUAAGGAUAAUGGACCAAUGACUAGAUAUAACAGAAUUGCAUCAUUCACAGAGGAUCAAAGAGAUAGUCAUUUCUUUGCUGAAAAAGAAAGUUCUUACAGAGAAUCUGAAUCAAGGUCAACAAUUAUCGAGUUAAAAACCCUCCAAAUCUGAGAGAACAUAUUCCAGAAAAAUUCAGAACCCUGCAGACCUGAAUUUGUGAAGUCAAUCCCUUGGGAAGACAUAGAAAUAAUGCUUGAAAGAACUCGAGGAAAAAGAGGAAAUGAGAAAUCCAAAGGAAUCCUAAAUACAUCUCUCAAUAAAUAUGGUCAAGAAAAAAAUGAAGGAGAACAUAUAAGAGAAGCUUUCUGUCAAAAAACCGUUUGUUGCUGUUUAGAAGACAGAGUUCAUUCUCUGUG